UACAGAGGUCCCAAGCGUUGUUCGGAUUCACUGGGCGUAAAGGGUGCGUAGGCGGCCGGGUAAGUCUGAUGUGAAAUCUCCGAGCCUAACUCGGAAACUGCAUCGGAUACUAUUUGGCUAGAGGAUUGGAAGGGAGACUGGAAUUCUCGGUGUAGCAGUGAAAUGCGUAGAUAUCGAGAGGAACACCAGUGGCGAAGGCGAGUCUCUGGACAAUUCCUGACGCUGAGGCACGAAAGCCAGGGGAGCAAACGGG
This 253-nucleotide ribosomal RNA is filed under the name uncultured bacterium. RNAcentral's name for it is "partial 16S ribosomal RNA". It matches the Rfam family "Bacterial small subunit ribosomal RNA", at positions 524 to 776 of the family's 1533-position model. The record is from RNAcentral.